RNAcentral lists this ribosomal RNA (467 nucleotides) under uncultured bacterium. RNAcentral describes it as "partial 16S ribosomal RNA". It matches the Rfam family "Bacterial small subunit ribosomal RNA", at positions 28 to 505 of the family's 1533-position model. The record is from RNAcentral.
GACGAACGCUGGCGGCGUGCUUAACACAUGCAAGUCGAACGGAAAGGCCCUGCUUUUGUGGGGUGCUCGAGUGGCGAACGGGUGAGUAACACGUGAGUAACCUGCCCUUGACUUUGGGAUAACUUCAGGAAACUGGGGCUAAUACCGGAUAGGAGCUCCUGCUGCAUGGUGGGGGUUGGAAAGUUUCGGCGGUUGGGGAUGGACUCGCGGCUUAUCAGCUUGUUGGUGGGGUAGUGGCUUACCAAGGCUUUGACGGGUAGCCGGCCUGAGAGGGUGACCGGCCAAGUUGGGGAAGAAGGUACGCCCCAGCCCCCUGGGGGGGGCAGCGGGGGGAAUUAUUCAAAAGGGGGGGGAGGCCUAAUGCGGCAACGCGGGGGGGGGGAUGAGGCCUUUGGGGUGGUAACCCGUUUUCCCGGGGGACAAGGGGUGAGGGGGGGAAGGGGAUAAGGAGGAACCGCCUAACGAUG